CCUCUCUAGGCAACCUGUUCCACUGCCUCCCUACCCUUACAGAGUACCAACCAUCUGCAUAAAUCAGAGAUAAUAAAAACAAGAUCUUCAAAAGGAGAAACAGCUUUGAGAACAGUACUUGUUGUUAAUGAUGAAUGAAAAAAGAAGUUGAAGGACAGGUAAUUGGAGACGGAGU
This 175-nucleotide long non-coding RNA is filed under the name Coturnix japonica (Japanese quail). RNAcentral describes it as "lncRNA (ENSCJPG00005008186.1)". The record is from RNAcentral. Lineage: Eukaryota; Metazoa; Chordata; Aves; Galliformes; Phasianidae.